This 253-nucleotide ribosomal RNA is filed under the name uncultured bacterium. Its description in RNAcentral is "partial 16S ribosomal RNA". It matches the Rfam family "Bacterial small subunit ribosomal RNA", at positions 524 to 776 of the family's 1533-position model. The record is from RNAcentral.
UACGAAGGGGGCUAGCGUUGCUCGGAAUCACUGGGCGUAAAGCGCACGUAGGCGGGUUGUUAAGUCGGGGGUGAAAUCCUGGAGCUCAACUCCAGAACUGCCUUCGAUACUGGCGACCUUGAGUCCGGGAGAGGUGAGUGGAACUCCGAGCGUAGAGGUGAAAUUCGUAGAUAUUCGGAAGAACACCAGUGGCGAAGGCGGCUCACUGGCCCGGUACUGACGCUGAGGUGCGAAAGCGUGGGGAGCAAACAGG